UGCUGGAGGUAUCAGAAGUGCGAAUGCUGACAUAAGUAACGAUAAAGCGGGUGAAAAGCCCGCUCGCCGGAAGACCAAGGGUUCCUGUCCAACGUUAAUCGGGGCAGGGUGAGUCGACCCCUAAGGCGAGGCCGAAAGGCGUAGUCGAUGGGAAACAGGUUAAUAUUCCUGUACUUGGUGUUACUGCGAAGGGGGGACGGAGAAGGCUAUGUUGGCCGGGCGACGGUUGUCCCGGUUUAAGCGUGUAGGCUGGUUUUCCAGGCAAAUCCGGAAAAUCAAGGCUGAGGCGUGAUGACGAGGCACUACGGUGCUGAAGCAACAAAUGCCCUGCUUCCAGGAAAAGCCUCUAAGCAUCAGGUAACAUCAAAUCGUACCCCAAACCGACACAGGUGGUCAGGUAGAGAAUACCAAGGCGCUUGAGAGAACUCGGGUGAAGGAACUAGGCAAAAUGGUGCCGUAACUUCGGGAGAAGGCACGCUGAUAUGUAGGUGAAGUCCCUCGCGGAUGGAGCUGAAAUCAGUCGAAGAUACCAGCUGGCUGCAACUGUUUAUUAAAAACACAGCACUGUGCAAACACGAAAGUGGACGUAUACGGUGUGACGCCUGCCCGGUGCCGGAAGGUUAAUUGAUGGGGUCAGCGCAAGCGAAGCUCUUGAUCGAAGCCCCGGUAAACGGCGGCCGUAACUAUAACGGUCCUAAGGUAGCGAAAUUCCUUGUCGGGUAAGUUCCGACCUGCACGAAUGGCGUAAUGAUGGCCAGGCUGUCUCCACCCGAGACUCAGUGAAAUUGAACUCGCUGUGAAGAUGCAGUGUACCCGCGGCAAGACGGAAAGACCCCGUGAACCUUUACUAUAGCUUGACACUGAACAUUGAGCCUUGAUGUGUAGGAUAGGUGGGAGGCUUUGAAGUGUGGACGCCAGUCUGCAUGGAGCCGACCUUGAAAUACCACCCUUUAAUGUUUGAUGUUCUAACGUGGACCCGUGAUCCGGGUUGCGGACAGUGUCUGGUGGGUAGUUUGACUGGGGCGGUCUCCUCCUAAAGAGUAACGGAGGAGCACGAAGGUUGGCUAAUCCUGGUCGGACAUCAGGAGGUUAGUGCAAUGGCAUAAGCCAGCUUGACUGCGAGCGUGACGGCGCGAGCAGGUGCGAAAGCAGGUCAUAGUGAUCCGGUGGUUCUGAAUGGAAGGGCCAUCGCUC
This 1194-nucleotide ribosomal RNA is filed under the name Escherichia coli. RNAcentral's name for it is "bacterial LSU rRNA". It matches the Rfam family "Bacterial large subunit ribosomal RNA", at positions 1271 to 2450 of the family's 2925-position model. The record is from RNAcentral. Lineage: Bacteria; Pseudomonadati; Pseudomonadota; Gammaproteobacteria; Enterobacterales; Enterobacteriaceae.